UGCUUACACAUGCAAGUCGAGCGGUAAGGCCCUUUCGGGGGUACACGAGCGGCGAACGGGUGAGUAACACGUGGGUGACCUGCCCUCCACUCUGGGAUAAGCCCGGGAAACUGGGUCUAAUACCGGAUAGGACCACUGAUCGCAUGGUUGGUGGUGGAAAGUUUUUUCGGUGGGGGAUGGGCCCGCGGCCUAUCAGCUUGUUGGUGGGGUGAUGGCCUACCAAGGCGGUGACGGGUAGCCGGCCUGAGAGGGCGACCGGCCACACUGGGACUGAGACACGGCCCAGACUCCUACGGGAGGCAGCAGUGGGGAAUAUUGCGCAAUGGGCGGAAGCCUGACGCAGCGACGCCGCGUGGGGGAUGACGGCCUUCGGGUUGUAAACCUCUUUCGCCAGGGACGAAGAGCAAUUGACGGUACCUGGAGAAGAAGCACCGGCCAACUACGUGCCAGCAGCCGCGGUAACACGUAGGGUGCGAGCGUUGUCCGGAAUUAUUGGGCGUAAAGAGCUCGUAGGCGGUGUGUCGCGUCGGCCGUGAAAACUUGGGGCUUAACUCUGAGCGUGCGGUCGAUACGGGCAUCACUUGAGUUCGGCAGGGGAGACUGGAAUUCCUGGUGUAGCGGUGAAAUGCGCAGAUAUCAGGAGGAACACCGGUGGCGAAGGCGGGUCUCUGGGCCGAUACUGACGCUGAGGAGCGAAAGCGUGGGGAGCGAACAGGAUUAGAUACCCUGGUAGUCCACGCCGUAAACGUUGGGCGCUAGGUGUGGGGACCAUUCCACGGUUUCUGUGCCGC
Molecule: ribosomal RNA, 791 nt
Filed under: Pseudonocardia sp. D12
Lineage: Bacteria; Bacillati; Actinomycetota; Actinomycetes; Pseudonocardiales; Pseudonocardiaceae
Description: bacterial SSU rRNA
Rfam family: Bacterial small subunit ribosomal RNA
Source: RNAcentral